CUUGCUCUUAUGAAGUUAGCUGGCGGACGGGUGAGUAACACGUGGGUAACCUGCCCAUAAGACUGGGAUAACUCCGGGAAACCGGGGCUAAUACCGGAUAAUAUUUUGAACUGCAUGGUUCGAAAUUGAAAGGCGGCUUCGGCUGUCACUUAUGGAUGGACCCGCGUCGCAUUAGCUAGUUGGUGAGGUAACGGCUCACCAAGGCAACGAUGCGUAGCCGACCUGAGAGGGUGAUCGGCCACACUGGGACUGAGACACGGCCCAGACUCCUACGGGAGGCAGCAGUAGGGAAUCUUCCGCAAUGGACGAAAGUCUGACGGAGCAACGCCGCGUGAGUGAUGAAGGCUUUCGGGUCGUAAAACUCUGUUGUUAGGGAAGAACAAGUGCUAGUUGAAUAAGCUGGCACCUUGACGGUACCUAACCAAAAAGCCACGGCUAACUACGUGCCAGCAGCCGCGGUAAUACGUAGGUGGCAAGCGUUAUCCGGAAUUAUUGGGCGUAAAGCGCGCGCAGGUGGUUUCUUAAGUCUGAUGUGAAAGCCCACGGCUCACCCGUGGAGGGUCAUUGCAAACUGGGAGACUUGAGUGCAU
RNAcentral lists this ribosomal RNA (590 nucleotides) under Bacillus cereus. Its description in RNAcentral is "bacterial SSU rRNA". It matches the Rfam family "Bacterial small subunit ribosomal RNA", at positions 75 to 651 of the family's 1533-position model. Lineage: Bacteria; Bacillati; Bacillota; Bacilli; Caryophanales; Bacillaceae. The record is from RNAcentral.